This 239-nucleotide long non-coding RNA is filed under the name Capsicum annuum. Its description in RNAcentral is "long non-coding RNA (CANN_LNC012400)". The record is from RNAcentral. Lineage: Eukaryota; Viridiplantae; Streptophyta; Magnoliopsida; Solanales; Solanaceae.
CGGUCAUUGUCAAUAUAAUAACCCAAUAAGAUUCGGGGUUGAAUUCACGAGGAACAACGUGAAUGGCGAUAAAUUAGGUCAAAAUAAUGGAUACAUGCUAAAAUUCAAACCUAAAGUAGAAGAAUAUAAAAAUGGGGGGAGGGGUUGAAUGGUACCACAACUAGUAUUUAUUUUUUGGAUUCUCUAAUAUUAAUUUGGGGCCAAAAAAAAUUAGAGUAUAAUCAAUUAGACUAAGAUCU